This is a long non-coding RNA of Oreochromis aureus, 2001 nucleotides long. NCBI's taxonomy places the organism in Eukaryota, Metazoa, Chordata, Actinopteri, Cichliformes, Cichlidae. The record is from Ensembl.
GUCGUGUUCCAGUGUUAGGCUUUUCCUGUCUUCAGUGAGUUAUAACAGGUUGUGAUCAAGUAAAAAAAACUAAACCAAACCAAAAUAAAAUAAAAAAUGCAAAACUGUAGAGGCUUCAAAAAUACUUCUUUUUACACGCUUUUGUUGGAUUACCUUUUAAAUGGAUACAUUUAUAUAUUUCCUGAUUAAUCUAAAGUUAAUAACACAGUGACAACAUGUUUUUUGCCCAAUACAAAAAAAAAAAAGUAGAUGGGUUUUCUGUCUUGGAAGAAAACCCAUCUACUGAGUGCCUCUACCACAGGCUGAGACAUCCAGUCAACUUUCAGCAAACCAUGAAUCAAUGAACCAAAGAACAGAGCCCUUACAAUGCUGGAAAAGCUUCAGGGCAAGUCACUGUUGGUUCUUAAGUAGCCAAGCCAAAAUUUUAAUCCAUCAGAACAUCUUUUGAGAGGCACAAAGAAGACACUUCCCAUCCAAUCUGAUGACGCUUGAAGAUGCAGAUUAGCUCAGAUGAAUUGGAUAAACCACCCAAAUUCAGGUUGAAGAGAUUUAACCAAGACAACUCGAAGCUGAAAUUACUAAAAUCAAAGUUUCUGGGUUUUUUGUUUUUAUGCUUUGAGCACAAAAAUACUAAAACAAUGAAAAAGUAAAUCAAUAUAAAAGCAGUUUCUCAUACAUGUAAAUUAAAAUAGAUGAAGUAACACGGGAACGUGGGAUUUAAAGAACAGAACAAAAACAGAACAACAGAAGUAACUAUAUAUGUCUCACAUGUACUUUGAGACUAGAAAGGAUUAGAAAGGAUUUAUUCCAAAUGCUUGGAUGUUGAUUUGUUGCCGUUUUUUUGUUUAGGACAUGUUUUGCUCUCUGGAAAGAAUACUUUAUUUUGAACUUUUUAAGUAAAUAGUAGAAAGUUACAAUGACAAUGCGCCUCCCGAACAUCUAACAGCACAGCUGGACCGUCUCCAACAAGGUCCGCAUGACUACAGUGGAAUAAUGCUUCAAAGGUCAAGGCAGUAGGUCACUUUGGAACAACACAUCCAUCCUGAUAAACACUAUUAAAAUGAUCAAUAUACAAUUUUUUUUUCCUUUAUUGCACAUGUGUCAUGCUAUACCCAUACGAGUCCUAUAAUAAAGAUGGCAUUUUUUCCAAAGGCCAACAAUGGGCUGUGAUUCCAAAAGAUUUCCUUUUCUGUAGGAGUAAGGAAAACGGCCCUCUGUCUGCAUAUCUGUCAACAUUUUGCUACCAAGUUUAUCAGGUCAGUUGCUCAUUUUGGGUCACAUCGUCUAAAACGUUAAGUUUAUUUUGUAUAUUUUGGUCAAUCUGAAUGUCAGAAAGGAGGAUUAUCCAGUAUAUGCUCACUAUGGCUUACUUUGGCUCCACUACAUCUGGUUUCACAAUGCCAAAAUCACUCAUUUUGAGGCUUCAAAACAACUAGCUAUGCCCAUCUUUUAUAGUGUUGAUGGCAUCAGCCAUCUGAAAAAACUGUCUCUUAAUUCAUACUUUGGAAAUGGAAACAAAUAUAUAAAAUCUAGCCAAAAAAAACCUUUUCUAAUGAUAUUAGGAAUCCUUAGCAGACUAGGAUACAUCUAAACUUAUCAAAUGCUAAUAUUUUGAUAUGAGAAGGUGGAAAAUGUCAGUAUUCGUGGUCUUCUGCUUCAAUGAAGUUCAAGUUUGCCAUGUAAAAAACAAAAAACAAACAAACAAACAAACAAACAAACAAACAGACAAACAAAACAAAAAACAGGUGAUGUGGCUCAACAAAAAAUAAUAAUAAACCCCCGCCCACCCCACAAAAAAAAAAACCCUUUAAAUGAAAAAUGUUAAAGUUGGUAGAACACUGAAAAAACAAACAAACAACAACAAAAAAAAAAAAAACCCUUUAAAUGAAAAAUGUUAAAGUUGGUAGAACACUGAAAAAACAAACAAACAACAACAACAAAAAAAAAAACCCUUUAAAUGAAAAAUGUUAAAGUUGGUAGAACACUGAAAAAACAAACAAC